CUAAAGUAAAAGUACUCGAACAAACACAAGACAGCUCAUUUACCUAUCAAAACCCAGCUAAAUGUGCAGGCCAAGUCACUAUGUGGCCUUGGCAUCCAAAAUCUAGAAAACCUUCAUGGUUAUGGACACCUAUUUUUGUUAUGAGAAAUAUAAUAAAUAGGAAUUGGAACACUGUUUCGCGUUCAUAUGCAUUCACAAUCACGACAUUUCAUGAUAAUUGGACUCCAGAACAAAGAAUAACAGAUGAUUGUAAUCUUGUAGAAGAGGAAGGAAAAGAUCCCAUUAGAAUAUACAAAGAUGAUGAUCACAAAGUCUUAUUUGGGGCUUCAUUUAGUAUAUACACAUAUUCAUUGAACAUGUCAGAAUGGGACAUUACACGUACAUUCCCACAGUGUCAGGAAUAUACAGUAGGAAUACAACAAGAUUUCUAUUAUUGGUUAAAACAAGACACCACUUUCUCAAGACCAGUGAAUACACGAAGAAAACGUGAGUGGUAUAACACAGUAUUAGGUGGUUUAGGUGUAGGAGCAAGUGUGCUAAAUGG
Non-coding RNA from Pelobates cultripes (western spadefoot toad), 544 nucleotides. Lineage: Eukaryota; Metazoa; Chordata; Amphibia; Anura; Pelobatidae. The record is from the annotation of a GenBank genome assembly.